UGUUAAAAUUUCAUUCAAUUGUACUAUUAAAAAAUGGUAUAGUUGACGGAAUAUCCAGAUAGUUACACGUGAUGAGCCAUAUGUACAUCAUGUUAACGUACAAAGACCGGUUUUUAACAAUAGAAAUGGAUGGAGUUUUUAAUA
Non-coding RNA from Gossypium arboreum, 144 nucleotides. The record is from Rfam. NCBI's taxonomy places the organism in Eukaryota, Viridiplantae, Streptophyta, Magnoliopsida, Malvales, Malvaceae.